RNAcentral lists this ribosomal RNA (630 nucleotides) under Reyranella sp. RNAcentral's name for it is "bacterial SSU rRNA". It matches the Rfam family "Bacterial small subunit ribosomal RNA", at positions 81 to 748 of the family's 1533-position model. The record is from RNAcentral. Lineage: Bacteria; Pseudomonadati; Pseudomonadota; Alphaproteobacteria; Hyphomicrobiales; Reyranellaceae.
UAGCAAUACACGAGUGGCGCACGGGUGAGUAACACGUGGAUAUCUGCCUUUUGGUUCGGGAUAACCCUGGGAAACUAGGGCUAAUACCGAAUGGUUCCUACGGGAUAAAGAUUUAUCGCCAAAAGAUGAGUCCGCGUCCGAUUAGCUAGUUGGUGAGGUAAUGGCUCACCAAGGCGACGAUCGGUAGCUGGUCUGAGAGGACGAUCAGCCACACUGGGACUGAGACACGGCCCAGACUCCUACGGGAGGCAGCAGUGGGGAAUAUUGGACAAUGGGGGCAACCCUGAUCCAGCCAUGCCGCGUGAGUGAUGAAGGCCUUCGGGUUGUAAAGCUCUUUUGGCGGGGACGAUGAUGACGGUACCCGCAGAAUAAGCCCCGGCUAACUUCGUGCCAGCAGCCGCGGUAAGACGAAGGGGGCUAGCGUUGUUCGGAAUUACUGGGCGUAAAGCGCGUGUAGGCGGUUAUUCAAGUCAGGUGUGAAAGCCUUGAGCUUAACUCAAGAAAUGCACUUGAUACUGGAUGACUAGAGGACCGGAGAGGAUAGUGGAAUUCCCAGUGUAGUGGUGAAAUACGUAGAGAUUGGGAAGAACACCAGUGGCGAAGGCGGCUAUCUGGACGGUUCUGACGCUA